Molecule: transfer RNA, 76 nt
Filed under: Bradyrhizobium sp.
Lineage: Bacteria; Pseudomonadati; Pseudomonadota; Alphaproteobacteria; Hyphomicrobiales; Nitrobacteraceae
Also listed under: 8 other names
Description: tRNA-Thr
Rfam family: tRNA
About the family: Transfer RNA (tRNA) molecules are approximately 80 nucleotides in length.
Source: RNAcentral
GCCGCAAUAGCUCAGCUGGUAGAGCACGUCAUUCGUAAUGACGGGGUCACAGGUUCGAAUCCUGUUUGCGGCACCA